GGCAUGGUGGCUCAGUGGUUAGAGCGCCCGCCUCAGGAACGGGAGGUCGUGGGUUCAAACCCCGGCCGAGUCA
Molecule: transfer RNA, 73 nt
Filed under: Strongylocentrotus purpuratus (purple sea urchin)
Lineage: Eukaryota; Metazoa; Echinodermata; Echinoidea; Camarodonta; Strongylocentrotidae
Description: tRNA-Leu
Rfam family: tRNA
About the family: Transfer RNA (tRNA) molecules are approximately 80 nucleotides in length. Their secondary structure includes four short double-helical elements and three loops (D, anti-codon, and T loops). Further hydrogen bonds mediate the characteristic L-shaped molecular structure. tRNAs have two regions of fundamental functional importance: the anti-codon, which is responsible for specific mRNA codon recognition, and the 3' end, to which the tRNAs corresponding amino acid is attached (by aminoacyl-tRNA synthetases). tRNAs cope with the degeneracy of the genetic code in two manners: having more than one tRNA (with a specific anti-codon) for a particular amino acid; and 'wobble' base-pairing, i.e. permitting non-standard base-pairing at the 3rd anti-codon position.
Source: Rfam by way of RNAcentral